GGGCCGAUAGCUCAGUCCGGCAGAGCGUCUGGCUUUUAACCAGACGGUCGCGUGUUCAAAUCGCGCUCGGCCCGC
Molecule: transfer RNA, 75 nt
Filed under: Halarchaeum rubridurum
Lineage: Archaea; Methanobacteriati; Methanobacteriota; Halobacteria; Halobacteriales; Halobacteriaceae
Also listed under: 1 other name
Description: tRNA-Lys
Rfam family: tRNA
About the family: Transfer RNA (tRNA) molecules are approximately 80 nucleotides in length. Their secondary structure includes four short double-helical elements and three loops (D, anti-codon, and T loops).
Source: RNAcentral